GCUAGGGAAAGCCUUCAUGGAAAGGGUUUCAUCUUUCUGAACAUUCACCACACUGGUGGACAAAUCCUUUUUGUGUGAGGAAGAUGUGGCUGUUGGGAGAGUCAAGUAAUUGAAUGACGUGAAUUUCCUGGAGUUUCCAUAAGUUCCUGUAAAUUUAGCCUCCAACUGAAAUAAACCAACUGAAUGUAAGACAUCAGACCCUAAAGAACCAAAGUUGUUAUUUCUGUGGAAGACCAGCCAACCUAUUCUCACAGCUGAAACAAUGGAUCUGGCCUGCAGAGUGUUAAGGCAUUCUCCAAGUUUCAAAACAAGAGUACACCAUUUUGAAGGCCUAUAAAUAGAAAGAAUUUUUCAAAUAUUAAUUCAGUAAUGACCUCUGUCUUUGGAAAAGAUAAUUGCAAUGUGUUACUGCGAACCAAUUUAAACCUGUAUUUCUCAUUGCAUUUAAUAUUUAAUUUUGUUUUUUAUCAUUAUAUAUCAACAGUUCUUUCUGGAGCAAAGCAAUCCUAUUUGACUUUUUUUUUUUUUAACCUUAUAGUGCACACACACAUGUAUGUGUAGGGUUAUUUAAACAAGGAAACAUUUACAUCAAAAUGUGCAAAGAGUUAUCCUGGAAUAGAAAUGCUGAAAAUAUAUUUUCAAGAAGUUUUAAAAUUCUAGGCUGGCCUCAAUGUAUUCAGUAGCAUGCCAGAAACAGAAAAAAAAAUUUAAUCUCUCCAUUUGCUUAUUCCUAUUAACAUAUAUAGAAAAAAAACUUGCUCUAAACCUAAUGCCUAUGCGAUAUGUUUGUUUCCUGAUGCUGAUGAUAAAUCAUAACCGGGCACUUGGUUAUAUUUUUUAAUGUUCUACAUUUCUAGCACUGCUACUGUAUUCACAAUGAGCUUUAUAUCUGACAGUAAUUUUAUUUUCAGGUUCAGUCAUAUGAUGCCUUUCUAUAGGAAUAGGUUCUAUCACAGGAACAAAUUAUUCAAAUCUAGUUUAACGGACUCAGCAAUUCUCCUCAGUUUUAUCUUGGGCAUUUUGUAUUCCUUUGCCUAAACCUAGUGGCUAUGUAACAAUUCAAUUACCAAAGUCCUUCAUCCAGAAAGUGCUGUUGAUUUCCAGUAAUUCUUAUUCUGUUUGAUUUCUUUUUUUUUUCCUCCUAGUUUAACACAUGCCAGUUGGUGUCGACUGAGUUAAAAAUCUUGAAAUAAGCCUGGCACUGUGUCAGUACAUAGGUUAAAAAAUGAAACAAAAAAAUUUAAUAAAAUAUACGCUAGAAAUGGAAAAUAAGAUUAGCAGUGGCAUUUCUUGUCAUAAGGACAUUUUCUGUCUAUGCACACAAAAUAAAACCAGCUCAGUGUAGCUGAAGAAGAGAGGAAAGAGAGAGGUGGUAUAAAUUGAAAGACGAAAAGGCAGAGACUGAGUGUACAGAAGCGCGUUGAGAGCAUGCAGUCAGCUGGCAAGAAAAGGCAACUCGAAGAGCCUCAGAAGGUAAAACCUCAGUUGGCAGAUAAAGUGGGUAAGAAGCAAGUUUUGAAAUAAAAUAGCAAUAGCAUAAGCAACUUGAAGGAAGAUGAAAAGAGCAAGGUGAUAAAAGUAUGCAAGAGUCUUUGGAGAUUAUUAGUAAUUUUAGGGAAUUACAAUGAUGAAAAGUUAUAAGGGAAAAAGACUUUACAUAUUCUUUAAUAAAAGAAAAU
Molecule: long non-coding RNA, 1679 nt
Filed under: Homo sapiens (human)
Lineage: Eukaryota; Metazoa; Chordata; Mammalia; Primates; Hominidae
Description: non-protein coding lnc-NUDT12-3:1
Source: RNAcentral